GGGGACAACAGCUGGAAACGGCUGCUAAUACCGCAUAUGCGCGCAGGGCCGCAUGGUCUGGUGCGGAAAACUCCGGCGGUGUAAGAUGGGCCCGCGUCUGAUUAGGUAGUUGGCGGGGUAACGGCCCACCAAGCCGACGAUCAGUAGCCGGCCUGAGAGGGUGGACGGCCACAUUGGGACUGAGACACGGCCCAAACUCCUACGGGAGGCAGCAGUGGGGGAUAUUGCACAAUGGGCGCAAGCCUGAUGCAGCGACGCCGCGUGAGCGAAGAAGUAUUUCGGUAUGUAAAGCUCUAUCAGCAGGGAAGAAAAUGACGGUACCUGACUAAGAAGCUCCGGCUAAAUACGUGCCAGCAGCCGCGGUAAUACGUAUGGAGCAAGCGUUAUCCGGAUUUACUGGGUGUAAAGGGAGCGUAGGCGGCUCUGUAAGUCUGAUGUGAAAAUUUGGGGCUCAACCCCAAACGUGCAUUGGAAACUGCAGGGCUUGAGUGCCGGAGAGGCAGGCGGAAUUCCUAGUGUAGCGGUGAAAUGCGUAGAUAUUAGGAGGAACACCAGUGGCGAAGGCGGCCUGCUGGACGGUAACUGACGCUGAGGCUCGAAAGCGUGGGGAGCAAACAGGAUUAGAUACCCUGGUAGUCCACGCCGUAAACGAUGAA
RNAcentral lists this ribosomal RNA (656 nucleotides) under uncultured bacterium. RNAcentral's name for it is "bacterial SSU rRNA". It matches the Rfam family "Bacterial small subunit ribosomal RNA", at positions 139 to 813 of the family's 1533-position model. The record is from RNAcentral.